This 276-nucleotide unclassified non-coding RNA is filed under the name Hevea brasiliensis (rubber tree). The record is from RNAcentral. Lineage: Eukaryota; Viridiplantae; Streptophyta; Magnoliopsida; Malpighiales; Euphorbiaceae.
CCAAGCAAGCCAAAAUUUUCAAGAUGGAAAAUGCAAUUUCAGAUGAUUCAUUGGAAGAAAAUAUUCAGCAGCAACGGCGAGGGAUUCAUAGAAGCAAAAGGGCAAAAUUUGUUGAGAGUGAAGAUGCAGUUUCAGAUGAUUUGCUGGCAGAUGAUACUCGUCUAGAGCACAUGAGGAUGCCUAGAAGAAGGAAAGCCAAAUUUGUAGAGAGGGAAGAUGUUUCAGGUGAUCUGCUGGAGGACAAUGGUCAAUGGCAACUAAGGAAGACUCCUAGGG